GAUGACCGCUGGCGGCGUGCCUAAUACAUGCAAGCCGAGCGAACAGACGAGGAGCUUGCUCCCCUGACGUUCGCGGCGGACGGGUGAGUACCACGUGGAUCACCUCCCUUUCAGACUGGGAUAACUUCGGGAAACCGGAGCUAAUACCUGCUCAUAUAUUCAACCCCAUGGUUCAAUAGUGAAAGACGCUUUUGCCGUCACUUAUCGAUGGAUCCGCGCCGCAUUAGCUAUUUGGGAAGGUCACGCCGUACCAAGGCAACGAUGCGUAGCCGACCUGAGAGGGUGACGGGCCACACUGGGAGUGAGACAGGGGCCAGACUCCUACGGGAGGCAGCGGGAGGGAAUCUUCGGGGAUAGGGGAAAGCCUGAAGGAGCAACGCAGAGUGGGUGAUGUAGGCCCCCGGAUCGUAGAACAAUGGUAUUGGGAGAGAAGAAAUUUGGAAGUAACUAUGCACGUCUUGACGGUACCGAGUAGGAGAGCCACGGGUAACUACGUG
Molecule: ribosomal RNA, 497 nt
Filed under: uncultured bacterium
Lineage: Bacteria
Description: partial 16S ribosomal RNA
Rfam family: Bacterial small subunit ribosomal RNA
Source: RNAcentral